GAUGAACGCUGACAGAAUGCUUAACACAUGCAAGUCAACUUGAAUUUGGGUUUUUUCACUUAGAUUUGGGUGGCGGACGGGUGAGUAACGCGUAAAGAACUUGCCUCACAGCUAGGGACAACAUUUGGAAACGAAUGCUAAUACCUGAUAUUAUGAUUAUAAGGCAUCUUAGAAUUAUGAAAGCUUUAUGCGCUGUGAGAGAGCUUUGCGUCCCAUUAGCUAGUUGGAGAGGUAACGGCUCACCAAGGCGAUGAUGGGUAGCCGGCCUGAGAGGGUGAACGGCCACAAGGGGACUGAGACACGGCCCUUACUCCUACGGGAGGCAGCAGUGGGAAUAUUGGACAAUGGACCAAGAGUCUGAUCCAGCAAUUCUGUGUGCACGAUGACGUUUUUCGGAAUGUAAAGUGCUUUCAGUUGGGAAGAAAAAAUGACGGUACCAACAGAAGAAGUGACGGCUAAAUACGUG
Molecule: ribosomal RNA, 466 nt
Filed under: uncultured bacterium
Lineage: Bacteria
Description: partial 16S ribosomal RNA
Rfam family: Bacterial small subunit ribosomal RNA
Source: RNAcentral